AGAAGGUUAUUGUAGGUCGCAUAGAAGAUUUUUAAUCUUGCUGGAUAUUCCUUCUC
This 56-nucleotide transfer RNA is filed under the name Xiphinema americanum. Its description in RNAcentral is "tRNA-Lys". Lineage: Eukaryota; Metazoa; Nematoda; Enoplea; Dorylaimida; Longidoridae. The record is from RNAcentral.